AAGUCGUAACAAGGUAACCGUAGGUGAACCUGCGGUUGGAUCAUUAUCAAUUUAAAACAGGGCCCGCAAGGGUCUUACUAACCAUGUGCACUAAACUAAUUGUUUUUGGGUUAGGGAGUUUUCUAACUUUCUAGCCCAACCUUUUCUUUAUAAACAUUUUUACUGUAUAGUCUGAUUUAAUAAUCUUGUUAUUUAAAAAUAUUAAUAACUUUUGACAACGGAUCUCUUGGCUCUC
RNAcentral lists this unclassified non-coding RNA (235 nucleotides) under fungal sp. Its description in RNAcentral is "partial internal transcribed spacer region". The stretch from base 1 to 46 matches the Rfam family "Eukaryotic small subunit ribosomal RNA", at positions 1786 to 1831 of the family's 1831-position model. Lineage: Eukaryota; Fungi. The record is from RNAcentral. RNAcentral also lists the same sequence under 1 other name.